RNAcentral lists this ribosomal RNA (38 nucleotides) under Scytinostroma sp. 1 KUC20121019-32. Its description in RNAcentral is "partial 28S ribosomal RNA". Lineage: Eukaryota; Fungi; Basidiomycota; Agaricomycetes; Russulales; Lachnocladiaceae. The record is from RNAcentral.
UUGAUCUCAAAUCAGGUGGGAUUACCCGCUGAACUUAA